Long non-coding RNA from Aedes albopictus (Asian tiger mosquito), 452 nucleotides. RefSeq lists it as uncharacterized. Lineage: Eukaryota; Metazoa; Arthropoda; Insecta; Diptera; Culicidae. The record is from RefSeq and is a predicted model, not a curated record. The transcript is spliced from 2 exons.
CCAGAUGGAAUUCCCGAAGAAAUGCUUAGAAGGACUACAUAACUACAUACAGGAAUUAUCAGAUUAGAUUUCUGGAAGAAUUCCCAUCAUGAGUUCCUAGAAGAAUCCGUAGAUGAUAUUCCUGGAGUAAUCCACAGAAUUCCCAGAUGGAAUCUCUAGAAGACGUGCCCGGAUCUCUAGUGUAAUUCACAAAUGGAAUUGCCGCAACCCCACUGAAGUGAUGCUUUUCCAACUCAAAAAAGCCGGAUAAUCAAGUCGGACCUGUAGUACUACUACCAGGAUUAGGAAUUAGUUUGUGCGUCCAUGUCAAAUAGGGUGCAUCCAAUUGAAACAAAUGUGAUCAAUUUGCCGAGGGCUAAAACAAUGGGAAUUCAUAUGUAUUGGAAAUAACUUUAUAAAACCUGCUCAAUCAUUACACUUUUAUUGACACUGCUUCUUCUGUUAUUGGGCUA